AGAGUUUGAUCAUGGCUCAGAGUGAGCGCUGGCGGUAGGCCUAACACAUGCAAGUCGAACGGCAGCACAGGAGAGCUUGCUCUCUGGGUGGCGAGUGGCGGACGGGUGAGGAAUACAUCGGAAUCUACUCUGUCGUGGGGGAUAACGUAGGGAAACUUACGCUAAUACCGCAUACGACCUACGGGUGAAAGUGGGGGACCGCAAGGCCUCACGCGAUUGAAUGAGCCGAUGUCGGAUUAGCUAGUUGGCGGGUAAAGGCCCACCAAGGCGACGAUCCGUAGCUGGUCUGAGAGGAUGAUCAGCCACACUGGAACUGAGACACGGUCCAGACUCCUACGGGAGGCAGCAGUGGGGAAUAUUGGACAAUGGGCGCAAGCCUGAUCCAGCCAUACCGCGUGAGUGAAGAAGGCCCUCGGGUUGUAAAGCUCUUUUGUUGGGAAAGAAAUCCUGUUGGCUAAUACCCGGCGGGGAUGACGGUACCCAAAGAAUAAGCACCGGCUAACUUCGUG
Molecule: ribosomal RNA, 509 nt
Filed under: uncultured bacterium
Lineage: Bacteria
Description: bacterial SSU rRNA
Rfam family: Bacterial small subunit ribosomal RNA
Source: RNAcentral